Ribosomal RNA from Blastocystis sp., 2147 nucleotides. It matches the Rfam family "Eukaryotic large subunit ribosomal RNA". The record is from Rfam. Lineage: Eukaryota; Bigyra; Opalinata; Blastocystidae.
CACUUGUUCCGACGUACUCACUCAUCAACUACACAUGAACGCAGGUGAAGAAGCAUCGAAUUUGAUUGGAAAGUCAAGUCAUAGAAGGUGAAAACCCUGUAAGAUGCGUCUCUUCACCCCUAAAAUACCAGUUCGUGGAGUCGAGUUGUUUGGGAUUGCAACUCGAAGUUGGUGGUAAACAUCAUCAAAGGCUAAAUAGUGUCAAGAGACCGAUAGCGAACAAGUACCGUGAGGGAAAGAUGAAAAGAACUUUGAAAAAAGAGUGAAAUAGUACUUGAAAUCGUGGUUAGGUUAAGCGCAGAGGCUGAGUGGUAUUGUAGAACUUGUGUCCUUUACAGUUGUGAAGGGUUUAAGUUGUAUGAUAGGUGUAUGGGGUGUUUACUUACCCAAAUCAUUGAGUGAGUGAGCACCCCACACACAAAAUCAACCUCUUCGUCCCGUCUUGAAACACGGACCAAGGAGUCUAUCAUGGAUGCGAGUACGUUGGUGUCAAACCAAAGUGCGUAAUGAAAGUAAAUCGUGUGAUCAUUGAAAGAUGCGCAACAUGUGCCGAUCUGGAUUCUCUGAAGAAAGAUUCGAGUAAUAGCAUUUAUGGUGGGACCCGAAAGAUGGUGAACUAUGCCUGAAUAGGACGAAGCCAGGGGAAACUCUGGUGGAGGUUCGAGUGGAUUCUAACGUGCAAAUUGAUCUUUAAAUUUGGGUAUAGGGGCGAAAGACUAAUCGAACCAUCUAGUAGCUGGUUCCUUCCGAAAUUUCCCUCAGGAUAGCUGCAACUUAUGAAAUAGUUUUAUGAGGUAAAGCGAAUGAUUAGAGGCUUCGGGAAUGUACUAUUCUUGACCUAUUCUCAAACUUUAAAUGGGUAAGAAGCAGUUGAUGUUUAGUUAAUCAGCUGUGAUGAAUAUGAGUUGCAAGUGGGCCAUUCCGGGUAAGCUGGACUGGCGAUGCGGGAUCAACCGAACGCUAUGGUACGGCGCCUGAUUAUUCGCUCAGUAGGACGUAAAAGGUGUUAGUUCAUCUAGACAGCAGGACGGUGGCCAUGGAAGUCGGAAUCCGCUAAGGAGUGUGUAACAACUCACCUGCCGAAUGAAGUAGCCCUGAAAAUGGAUGGCGCUCAAGCGAAUAGCCUAACCAUAGCCAUUCGAUUUAGUUUUAUAGUCGAAUGAGUAGGAAGGCGUGAUGGAGGUAGAGAAGACUAGCGUGUGAACGCAGUUGGAACGUCCAUUAGUGCAGAUCUUGGUGGAAGUAGCAAAUAUUCAAAUGAGAUCUUUGAAGACUGAAGUGGAGAAAGGUUCCAUAGGAAUCGUGAUGAUCUAUGGGUUAGUCGAUCCUAAGAGAUAGGUGAAAUCCAUUGAAAGGAUGACGUUCGUCAUCGUCUAUCGAAAGGGAAUCAGGUUAAUAUUCCUGAACCAAUAGAAGUGUGUCGGUAACGGUAUUGAGAUUGAAGACAUUGAUGGUACUCCUGGGAAGAGUUGUCUUUUCUUGUUAACAAAUGGCAGUCCUUGGAAUAAAUUCAGUUUGCGAGAAGGAUUGUGGUUUGGUAAAGGUUCCUGCUUGUUGGGAGCUCUGGUGCAGUAUCAGCAGUCCUUGAAAAUUCAAUCUCAACGUAACUUCUAUUGUUCGUACUCAUAACCGCAUCAGGUCUCCAAGGUGAAUAGCCUCUAGUUAAUAGAAUAAUGUAGGUANACAUUGAUGGUACUCCUGGGAAGAGUUGUCUUUUCUUGUUAACAAAUGGCAGUCCUUGGAAUAAAUUCAGUUUGCGAGAAGGAUUGUGGUUUGGUAAAGGUUCCUGCUUGUUGGGAGCUCUGGUGCAGUAUCAGCAGUCCUUGAAAAUUCAAUCUCAGCGUAACUUCUAUUGUUCGUACUCAUAACCGCAUCAGGUCUCCAAGGUGAAUAGCCUCUAGUUCAUAGAAUAAUGUAGGUAAGGGAAGUCGGCAAAUUAGAUCCGUAACUUCGGGAAAAGGAUUGGCUCUGAGGGCUAAGCAGAAUGAGUAUUGGUUAGGAAACGGCUUGUGGUGCAUGGGUUUGUUGUGCUUUCGGGUGUGAUGAAUGUGUGUACUAUGAAAAGGGCCCUGACCUCUACUUCCCUGCAAUGAAUAGCUAACUCAGAAGGCUUAGAGGUGUUCUAUGGAUUUGUUGAAGUGUGGUGU